AGGAUGAACGCUAGCGGCAGGCCUAAUACAUGCAAGUCGAACGGUCAGUAGCAAUACUGAUAGUGGCGCACGGGUGCGUAACACGUAACUAACCUACCUAUACCUGGGGGAUAGCCCGCCGAAAGGCGGAUUAAUACCGCAUAAGGCUUGAGACUGGCAUCAGUUUUUAGUAAAGAUUUAUUGGGUAUAGAUGGGGUUGCGGGUCAUUAGCUAGUUGGUAAGGUAACGGCUUACCAAGGCGACGAUGACUA
RNAcentral lists this ribosomal RNA (251 nucleotides) under uncultured bacterium. RNAcentral describes it as "partial small subunit ribosomal RNA". It matches the Rfam family "Bacterial small subunit ribosomal RNA", at positions 26 to 285 of the family's 1533-position model. The record is from RNAcentral.